Molecule: long non-coding RNA, 3682 nt
Filed under: Triticum aestivum (bread wheat)
Lineage: Eukaryota; Viridiplantae; Streptophyta; Magnoliopsida; Poales; Poaceae
Description: long non-coding RNA (TAES_LNC006239)
Source: RNAcentral
ACAUACAUACACUUCAAUCUAUUCUAAACAUAACCAGGAAAGGGUAAAAGAUGCAAUUAUGAGACAUGUACAAGAUGAAAUCUAAAACAUCUAGUUGGCGUAGAUCGUUGGCUUCAUGGUUCCGUUGAGUGCAGUCCUUUUGUUUGCUUCCUACAAAAGUUAAACAAUUCUCAAUUAUAAUACAGUAUUAGAAACUAGACUACAGUAGCAAAAUUCCAACAUAGAGGAUCAUCACAUUCUUAAAAAUAAAAACAGUAAUAAAUACCGAGAAUUCCAUAGCCAUGUGUUAACACUAACAUUGAUUCUCGACUGAGAUCACCACAGCCGGCCCACCAUCUCCACAAGGAGUUAAUAGGUCAGCAAAGGCGUUUGUUUCUUCUCAUUAAAACUAAGAUAAAUUACUCUUUUGGCAUAGGAAAAAAACAGAGUACGCAUGAUCUUGAGGUAUGAUCUUGAGGUAGUAGAAGCGUUUGAAGCAUCUAUUUGUGUUUAAACAAUUAUGUAUUAUAUAAGUUAUUCAUUCUUCUGCAUUUGCAGUCUUGUCAGCAUCUCAUUGAGGUCAUUUUCACUUUUUGGCAUCUGACAACUAAUGAGCAAUGCUUAUCUAGCUAUUUAAUUUGACUUUCAAGGACUACACUUGUGCAGACUUAUUAUACAAAUUCGUAGAUCUUACUAAAACAACUUAAGUACCUAGGCUUAACGAUGACGUACUUUCCAUAGCAGAUGUGUGCUAAGCAUAGAGUUUUUUGUACUAUUCUUCCUGGAAGGAGAUUGACUAGUUGGUGAAUAAAUCCCUUAUUUUGACUUUCAAUUUCACAAAAUAAACAUGAUGGGUCAAGUUACCUUCACAUGCCAGCUCAGGAUAAACGCACCUGGUCCAAUGUGGUAGCUAUAUAUUGCAAUGAUGAGAUUCCUUGUCCCAACAUUGAUUGAUGCCAUUACCUAGAUAUAAGACAUCUUGCUCCACUACCUGCAACGCAAAAAAGGAGUUCUUCAGAGGAAUUCUUUUAGUUUCUCCUCAAGAUAAAUGAUUUUAAUAUUCACUUCACAAAUAGAACGAUACUAUAUGAAAUUUUUUUCUUUGUAUAAAGCCGAUAUGAAUUCCACAUCUGCUAAUAGUAUAGGUUGUUGGAAAUAAAGAUGGCCACGCUACAUUAAUAACACAAGUCCAGGAAAUGUUCCAAAUUCUGGCAGCAGUGAUAAUCAUAAAUAAGCAUCCAGUCAGGUCAAAUAACAGAUAUAGUAUCCAAGACAAAAGAUUGUAACACUAGAGCGAUAGAAGGCUCACAAAACUGUGAAAGCGACACAAACAAGUUUGAAUAUUGAUAUACUCAACCAAAUACGGUUCAGUGCUAAAACAUUCACAAGUAAUUGCCGAAGGGAAACACAAAAUAAAAUGUGAAUGUUACGUGCAUAGCUUUGCACUGUUAAGGUCAUGACACCAGCCCAACAAGCAUGGCAUCAACUAUUACUUCACAAGGCAACUGAAUUGCCGCACAUACAGGAACUAUUACUCUACAUGAAACUAUAUCCCAAUUUCUUGCUCUCUAGUUUGAGAGUAAUUUGGUUUAGUUCAUCUUUACAACAGUUCUAUGUUAUUAGGAACACCAUAACAGCUAAAUAAUUCCAAUAGCAUUUAUGUCAACCAUGCAUUAUGUUCCAAUAUAGUAUACACAAUAGCACAACAUAAAUUUUCCAUUAGAUUUGGAUGGUUAAGAUCAUAACUGCAGCUUUGUGUACUGCCAACUUAUACAAGCAUGACAGCUUUAUAUGCAUAGCUUUGCACUAUUAAGGUCAUGACAACAGCCCAGUUAUUCAAGCAUGACAUUAGCUAUUCCUUCACAAGUCAACUGAAUAGUUGCAUAUAAAAGAACUAUUACUCUACAAGAAAUUAGUAACUCCCAACUUCUUGCUCUCUAAUUCGAGAGUGCUAUGGUUCAGUUAAUCUGUACAAUAACUUUAAGUCAUUAGGAACACCACAACAACUCAAAAUUUUCAAUAGCAUUCAUGUCAACGAUGCAUUAUGUUCCAGUAUACACAGUAGCAGUAGGACACUUCUAUUUUGUCUCAGCGCAAUCUAAAACAGCUUGCUGAAAAAGGGGUUUGUCUGCUUAAUCUUAGUAACCAGUAAAUCUACUUGUAAACAUAAAAUUCUAAAAACUAAGUGAUCAAAAUUAUUUAUUAAGUUGUGAUUGUGUGCAAGAAUGUGUCAGUUGGAGAACAUGAUAUUAACAGUAGGCGAACCAUCAUGGAAGAAUAACGACAUAAAAGUCGAAUGUCAACAUAUCGCAAUUUUUGUUCUAUAAGAUAAGCCAUAUGAAAAAUAUGAACUCUCUUUUUCGCCAUAUAAAAAAAGAACAACAUAAAGGUCCAAUGUCAACUGAGCCUGUAGUUUCCUGCUCUCUAAUUUGAGAGUAGCAUGUUUCAGUUCAUCAAUGAGAACCCAGCCCCCAUGGGAAUAGAUUAUCUUUUCCAAUAAAAGUUUCCACAAUGGACCCCCAAUUUCAUUAAGAGAUCAGAGCCCCUUUUGUUCAGAUAAGUGACCAAAAUUACCUUAGUGACGGGAUGACGAAAAUGCCCCUUUUGUUCAGACGCCCCAUAGAAGAAUUCAUCUGGUCUUUCAAAGUUGAAACCAAGUACUACUUCUGGGAACUAAAUAGAACAUAAUGUUAUAGUAUGAUAUUUUCACAAGGAAACAUUUACGAAAUGCUACAUGUAUACUGUUGUACCAAAGAAUUAGUAGAAAACUGGAGAUGUGUUUACUGGACAAGCACAUAGUCCUAUAUGCCAAUCAGAAGUAAACAGUGAGGGCAUCCAACAUUUGCUUGCUAUCAUCGAUACAUACUUACUGAUGUUCUUGAGAGUAAAUAGUAGUAGCAUCAAGUCGAUGUGAUGCAUAUGCAUAUGACUAUGGACAUCGUCCGGUGGCCUUUUUGCCCAAACUUACUAAAGAUUUAUUUCCCCUGCAAAUGUUAAUUUUCAAAUUCAAUCAGGUAACAACCCUAGAAUCCAAUCAAUAAUAGUGAUAGAAAAUUAGGGUUUGAGCUUUACUAGUUCAAGGACUUCUGCUUCCAUGAACCAAAUCAGCACAAUUUUUUUUAGAGAUUAAACUUACAACAGGUAAAAAAAAUCUGGUCCACCGGUGGGAGUUGGAAUCUGAACACACACACACACACACGCACAUAGAGAGAGAGAGAGAGAGAAAGAACCUUACGAUGUCGUUUCUUCCAUGGAUGGCUAGCUCCUGUUCUCCUGAAUUGGGGAGAGAUGGGGGCACCCACCACCAAGCUCCUAAUCACCGGAAGCAGAGGAAGCAGGGGUUGGGCGCCUUGGACCUGACGAAUGGGAGUGAAGGGACAUUGACCCACAUAGAUCUAGCUGGUCUGGGAUGCGGCAGUGGAGCCAUGAGAGAGAGGUGAGAGGUGGCAUCAGCGGGCACUUGCGUAUGAACAAAAAGCGCCACUGUUGGCACCUGUGUGAUGGCGGCGGCGGCACAAGCCCACCUCGGCGUGGGAAAAUGGCAGCCGUGUGGGGAUGACGACGGAGGGGUGCGAGAAAGAGGGGAACAAAGUGGUGGCAGCCUCGCUGGACGCGUAGCGCUGCCGUCGGCCGGAGAGGGCACCUAGGGCGGCGGCGGCGUGCGUGGUGGAUCUAGAGAAAGGGGAUAAGGUUUGGAGCGUGG